UUACUUGUAAGGUUAACUUUCUGUCUCUGUCUGUUUCAGCAGGAGGAUGGAAACUGACGACUGCUGUGACAGUUCCUGCUAUUUUCCUCAUUAUCAUACUCAUCUUUGUCGUCAUAUGGAUCAUAAAGAAGAGGGCCUGCAAGCAACCGUCUGAGCCCGGAGACAGACCAGAGAACAGUGAACAGAUACAACCAGCAGAGGAGCAGGAUGAGCUUCAAUAUGCCACUGUCGACUUUUCCAGGAACCAGGCUGAUCCUCUCUACUCCAACAUCCAACCAGUUAAACCCCAAACACACAAGAAAAAGAAGAAGGAAGAAGAAGAAGGAGAACAAGAGGAGAUGGUUGAGUACUCUGUGGUUAACUUUAACAGCGGCGGUGCAGC
This is a non-coding RNA of Labrus bergylta (ballan wrasse), 382 nucleotides long. The record is from RefSeq and is a predicted model, not a curated record. Lineage: Eukaryota; Metazoa; Chordata; Actinopteri; Labriformes; Labridae.